CCCCUACACUGUAUUUCAGCACUGCCAACCAGAGAGUGGAGCCCCUGCCACCAGAACAGAGGAAGCUGCUCAAAUGGAAGAUGAGCACUGUGACUCCCAACAUAGUCAAACACACCAUCGCCAGGUCACACUUUAAAGUCACCAAGAGAAGUCAUGAUUGGCUUGGCUGCUGGGGUCACCAUAUGAAGUCUCCUGGGUUCAAGGCCAUCAGGGAAUACCAGAAGGCCACAUUGUAGAAGAAGUUGGUGGAAUUGUCAAAGUACUACUACAAAAAAUGACUUGUGUCCUCGUGUUUCUUUGCUCGUUACGUUGUUGUGUUCAAAAUGUUAGCUGCAGCUGUCUGCUGCUAGGAAGUCAUCACAGUCUGACAUUCCGAGUUGCCAC
Long non-coding RNA from Oncorhynchus nerka (sockeye salmon), 384 nucleotides. RefSeq lists it as uncharacterized. The transcript has 4 exons. The record is from RefSeq and is a predicted model, not a curated record. Lineage: Eukaryota; Metazoa; Chordata; Actinopteri; Salmoniformes; Salmonidae.